This 262-nucleotide long non-coding RNA is filed under the name Elaeis guineensis (African oil palm). Its description in RNAcentral is "long non-coding RNA (EGUI_LNC070571)". Lineage: Eukaryota; Viridiplantae; Streptophyta; Magnoliopsida; Arecales; Arecaceae. The record is from RNAcentral.
UUAGUAAGUUAUUAUCUUCAGAGGAAUGCCUGACAUAUCAGUUAUCAAUCAAGCAAAAAUAUCGAUGUUUGCUCUCAGUAGAUUUAUUAGUUGCUGCCUCUCUGGAUUAGACAGCUGCAAUCCAAUUUGGACUUUUUUUUAGGAUCUUCUUCUUUCAGUGGGAUGGAAAUCAGUUGUUCGGUCGGUUCAUCUCUUUCUUUAUUUUCUCUCUGGUCCAAUUUAUCGAAGGAUAAAAAGUCUUCAGAUUGAUUAUUCUGUGUCG